UGAAGUGGCUGCAGACCAUCACCACGCUGCCGAUCCUGGUGAAGGGAGUGAUCACUGCAGAAGACACGAGGCUCGCCGUGGAGAACGGCGCGGCCGGCAUCAUCGUGUCCAACCACGGCGCCCGCCAGCUGGACUACGUCCCGGCCACCAUCAGCGCCCUCGAGGAGGUUGUGAAGGCGGCUCGCGGGCAGCUCCCCGUCUUCCUCGACGGCGGCGUCCGCCGCGG
RNAcentral lists this unclassified non-coding RNA (226 nucleotides) under Hevea brasiliensis (rubber tree). Lineage: Eukaryota; Viridiplantae; Streptophyta; Magnoliopsida; Malpighiales; Euphorbiaceae. The record is from RNAcentral.